UGGGGAAUUUUGGACAAUGGGCGAAAGCCUGAUCCAGCCAUGCCUCGUGAGUGAAGAAGGCCUUCGGGUUGUAAAGCUCUUUUAGUCGGAAAGAAAGAGUUGCAAUGAAUAAUUGUGAUUUAUGACGGUACCGACAGAAAAAGCACCGGCUAACUACGUGCCAGCAGCCGCGGUAAUACGUAGGGUGCGAGCGUUAAUCGGAAUUACUGGGCGUAAAGGGUGCGCAGGCGGUCUUGCAAGUCAGAUGUGAAAGCCCCGGGCUUAACCUGGGAAUUGCGUUUGAAACUACAAGACUAGAGUGCAGCAGAGGGGAGUGGAAUUCCAUGUGUAGCAGUGAAAUGCGUAGAGAUGCGGAAGAACACCGAUGGCGAAGGCAGCUCCCUGGGUUGACACUGACGCUCAUGCACGAAAGCGUGGGGAGCAAACA
This 427-nucleotide ribosomal RNA is filed under the name uncultured bacterium. Its description in RNAcentral is "bacterial SSU rRNA". It matches the Rfam family "Bacterial small subunit ribosomal RNA", at positions 355 to 774 of the family's 1533-position model. The record is from RNAcentral.